UGACAUCAAUCAAUCCCCCAAACUCACGCGUUGAUAUCAACCCUAUUCAUUUUAAUUUUUUAAUAAAUAUCCAUGAUAGCUACUCCAUUAAUAUUAGCUUUGUGAUAAAUAUCCACAAAAUCUGUUUUAGUGUAAAAUAAAAGCAUGAGUAAAAAGGUUCUUUCAAAGAUUACAACCGAUGGAAGUCAGCAGUUUUUUCUGUUAACGACGAUACCAGUGGAUAAAGAAGAUGGUUUUAACUUGUUACUAACGGAUGGACAAUCAACAUGGACAGGAACUUUUUCAGCUGAUAAUAUGGACAAACAGCGUAAAAGGUUAAAAAUGGAUUUUACCUCAUAUUUUAAUCAAACUGAAAAAGCCUUCAUCAAAGAUGAUAAUGAAGUGAAUUUUGAAUACAGUGUUAAAAUUAAAAAUGAUGAUACAGCUGAAUUGGUGUGGAAGAAACAUGUCACCUCAGAUGAUAUUAAGUUUCAGUUAGGAUGUAUAACUCUAAUGUUAAAAGAUGACCCAGGGACUGGUAUAUGUACGAUAUUAAAUCAUAGCGUAGUCAACAGUGAACGAGAUCAACAUCAACUUAAACAGCUAGAAACAGAUAAUAACAGACUGUCACAAGAACGGAUGAUGGCGUUAAAGUUUAAAAUAAAAGCAUGAGUAAAAAGGUUCUUUCAAAGAUUACAACCGAUGGAAGUGAGCAGUUUUUUCUGUUAACGACGAUACCAGUGGAUAAAGAAGAUGGUUUUAACUUGUUACUAACGGAUGGACAAUCAACAUGGACAGGAACUUUUACAGCUGAUAAUAUGGACAAACAGCGUAAAAGGUUAAAAAUGGAUUUUACCUCGUAUUUUAAUCAAACAGAAAAAGCCUUCAUCAAAGAUGAUGAUGAAGUGAAUUUUGAAUACAGUGUUAAGAUUAAAAAUGAUGAUACGGCUGAAUUGGUGUGGAAAAAACACGUCACCUCAGAUGAUAUUAAGUUUCAGUUAGGAUGUAUAACUCUAAUGUUAAAAGAUGACCCAGGGACUGGUAAAUGUACGAUAUUAAAUCAUAGCGUAGUCAACAGUGAACGAGAUCAACAUCAACUUAAACAGCUAGAAACAGAUAAUAACAGACUGUCACAAGAACGGAUGAUGAUGUUAAAGAGGCUAGAAAAAUGUGUUGCUGCAAAAGAAGAAAUGGAAAAAGAUUUAUUUUCAAAGUUUGUGGCCAUAUUAAAUAGUAAAAAAGAAAAAAUAAGAAAUUUAAAAGAAAAUGGUUCAGGUGAUGAUAAUGAGAAAGAUGAUGGAACAUCAGUGUCACAGUCGAAUUCUACUCGAAAUGGUAGACAAAACAGAGAAUAACGGGUUGAAACAAAUAAAGAAGAAAGGUAAAUAAACCUUAAUUAUUGAACACCUGACCGAAAUGGAAGACAAAACAGAGAACAACAGGUUGAAACAAAUAAAGAAGAAAGCGAUAAAGAAGAAAAUACAGAUGAGGAAGAGACGCCACCACCUAAACGUCAGAGAAAGAAUGUAGGCCGUAAAACUGGUGAUCUAGAUUCAUCGUUAGAUUUAGGGGAUGACGAGAUUACAUCAUCAUCUUCUACGAUAGUUAAAAGGUCAGCUAGAAAGAGAGGAAGUGUAAGAACAGCGACACCAAGUAAACCUAUUUUACCUAAAAUAACUAGAAAUACGUCCAAUGAGAGCUAUGAUGGUGGUCGAGGUCGGAUGAGUAAAAGUAGUUCUAAUAAUUCUAAUGUAUCUAAUAUAGAUCCUGAAGAUUUGUUCAGUGUUUUGUAGACUUAUUUAUCAGACAGAAUAGUACAUAACUGUUUGUAUCUGGUUUAUUUAUCAGACAUUUCAAUCAGUUUCUAAUCUGCUUGAUACUGAAAUUUGAGAGGAAUGGACAACUGUAAUAAUAGGAGGUAGCCAUUGUUUACGAUUCAAACAUAAUGUUGUGUAUUAAUUGUAUAAUUUGUAUAUAAUACAGGCAUAAUGUUGUGUAUUAAACAUAACCUAAUAUUGUAUAUAUCACA
Long non-coding RNA from Patella vulgata (common limpet), 2008 nucleotides. RefSeq lists it as uncharacterized. NCBI's taxonomy places the organism in Eukaryota, Metazoa, Mollusca, Gastropoda, Patellidae. The transcript is spliced from 14 exons. The record is from RefSeq and is a predicted model, not a curated record.